GCUCGGGCUCGCAAUGCGCAGGAUAGGUGGGAGGCUUUGAUCCAUUGCUUGUGGGUGAUGGUGAGCCACUGGUGAGAUACCACUCUUUGCGAGCUAGGGUUCUAACGGUUACCCGUUAUCCGGGAACCGGACAGUAUCUGGUGGGCAGUUUGACUGGGGCAGUCGCCUCCUAAAAGGUAACGGAGGCGCGCAAAGGUUCCCUCAGGCUGGUUGGAAAUCAGCCGACGAGUGCAAAAGCAGAAGGGAGCUUGACUGUGAGACCUACAAGUCGAACAGGUACGAAAGUAGGCUUUAGUGAUCCGACGGUUCUGAGUGGAAGGGCCGUCGCUCAACGGAUAAAAGUUACUCUAGGGAUAACA
Molecule: ribosomal RNA, 359 nt
Filed under: uncultured eukaryote
Lineage: Eukaryota
Description: LSU rRNA
Rfam family: Bacterial large subunit ribosomal RNA
Source: RNAcentral